RNAcentral lists this ribosomal RNA (445 nucleotides) under uncultured bacterium. RNAcentral describes it as "partial 16S ribosomal RNA". It matches the Rfam family "Bacterial small subunit ribosomal RNA", at positions 338 to 795 of the family's 1533-position model. The record is from RNAcentral.
CCUACGGGGUGCAGCAGUCGAGAAUUAUUCACAAUGGGGGAAACCCUGAUGGUGCGACGCCGCGUGGGGGAAUGAAGGUCUUCGGAUUGUAAACCCCUGUCAUGUGGGAGCAAAUUAAAAAGAUAGUACCACAAGAGGAAGAGACGGCUAACUCUGUGCCAGCAGCCGCGGUAAUACAGAGGUCUCAAGCGUUGUUCGGAAUCACUGGGCGUAAAGCGUGCGUAGGCUGUUUCGUAAGUCGUGUGUGAAAGGUGCGGGCUCAACCCGCGGACGGCACAUGAUACUGCGAGACUAGAGUAAUGGAGGGGGAACCGGAAUUCUCGGUGUAGCAGUGAAAUGCGUAGAUAUCGAGAGGAACACUCGUGGCGAAGGCGGGUUCCUGGACAUUAACUGACGCUGAGGCACGAAGGCCAGGGGAGCGAAAGGGAUUAGAUACCCGAUAGUC